Molecule: ribosomal RNA, 604 nt
Filed under: uncultured bacterium
Lineage: Bacteria
Description: bacterial SSU rRNA
Rfam family: Bacterial small subunit ribosomal RNA (bases 1-519)
Source: RNAcentral
CCUACGGGAGGCAGCAGUGGGGAAUUUUCCGCAAUGGGCGAAAGCCUGACGGAGCAAUACCGCGUGAGGGAGGAAGGCUCUUGGGUUGUAAACCUCUUUUUUCAGGGAAGAUAAUGACGGUACCUGAGGAAUAAGCAUCGGCUAACUCCGUGCCAGCAGCCGCGGUAAUACGGAGGAUGCAAGCGUUAUCCGGAAUGAUUGGGCGUAAAGCGUCCGCAGGUGGUUUUAAAAGUCUGUUGUUAAAGCGUGAGGCUUAACCUCAUAAGGGCAAUGGAAACUGUAAGACUAGAGUACGUUCGGGGCAAGGGGAAUUCCCAGUGUAGCGGUGAAAUGCGUAGAGAUUGGGAAGAACACCGGUGGCGAAAGCGCCUUGCUAGGCCGUAACUGACACUGAGGGACGAAAGCUAGGGGAGCGAAUGGGAUUAGAUACCCCAGUAGUCCUAGCCGUAAACGAUGGAUACUAGGCGUUGUCUGUAUCGACCCGGACAGUGCCGUAGCUAACGCGUUAAGUAUCCCGCCUGGGGAUACGCACGCACCGUAGUGAACUACAAUAGAAGUAGACGGCGUGAGACGUGCCGAACGGACGACGACGAGGGGAGUUAGG